Long non-coding RNA from Gasterosteus aculeatus aculeatus (three-spined stickleback), 1078 nucleotides. Lineage: Eukaryota; Metazoa; Chordata; Actinopteri; Perciformes; Gasterosteidae. The record is from Ensembl.
AUUUGACGUUAUUACAUCAUCAUAUCAUACAGCAUAAUAAAUAUUGAUUAUAGCUGUUUAAGAAAAAUAAUAGAGCUGUUGAUUUAUCCCUGUCAUGUUUUGUGAGGAGACAUUACAGAUUAUUGUUGUCUCGCUGUUUGUCGUCACUGUCCAACAAGUUGAAUCUGAAGUGUUGUGUGUUGUGACUCCAUGGAAACGAGCAGCAGCAGCCUCCCUUGUCUCCCUCAUUUAAGAGGCAUCGGCUUUCAAAGGAGAAGAAGAGGAGGAUGAGGAGGCUGAAGAGGUUUGUGUGUACGUGUGUUUAUGAUCUCUACGUUAUGUCCAUACAGCGCCAGUCUCUGUCACAAAGUGAAGGUCACAGUUACUGGGACGGGACGUGUUCUGGUAGUUGCAGGACCGGUGGAGUCAGGAGCAGAACAUGUUUGUCACGGUGCUGCUCGGUGCAGGAUGGAAAUCUUCAAUCUCAACUGCAAAUUGAUAAACUUUAUCCAUCAUCUAAAGGAGAGAUGCGGUCUGGACUUCAAAGGCACUGAACAGAUUCCCACAACAUUAGUGGGUUGGACUUGUAUCAUCCUUUUAUCAUUUUUAAAAUCCUCCAUUAAGGGGUAGCAGCGUGCUGGUCGAGAGGCAACGCUACGUCCUGCUGCUGGUGUCCCGUGAGUGCACCUCGAUUGACUGGUCAAACACAUUUACGGAACAAAGAAAUGAUUGUGCUUUUUAACAUUUCAAUGGUGGCACAUGUUUUCCGGAUGAAAGCACAAUCGUUCUCAUGUCUGAGAAGUUAAAGUGUCACAUUAUUUUCACUAUAUAGAUACAUCCAUAUUUACAAUGCAUUAGUAUGUUACAUGUUGUUUAUGAGGAUAUGGAGGAUGUCAUAACUCAUUUAGUGUAUUCUAUUGAUAGCUUCAAUGUUGCACAAAGGACAUAGUUUACAAACAGUUUCAACCACAAAGGUUUUGAAACAGCCACUUAAACGUUUGCGAAAUCUGGGAAUUUCCUGGGAAAAAACAUUUUGUAGUUACUUCGAAACAUUUGUAUCCAGCUGCGGACAAAAUAUACGAUGGUAUGAAAAUUGCAG